Molecule: long non-coding RNA, 1131 nt
Organism: Myotis daubentonii (Daubenton's bat)
Lineage: Eukaryota; Metazoa; Chordata; Mammalia; Chiroptera; Vespertilionidae
Exons: 2
Source: RefSeq, a predicted model, not a curated record
AUCCUCCGCCUCGUCCCGCCCCCGCCGCCCUUCCCAAUUGGCCCCCCCGUCGGCCUCCGAGGCUCUCCUCUGCCAUUGGCGGCCUGGCCAGACCCGACUCCAAGUCGCCGCUGUUCAUUCGUUAUUUGCGCCGCCUAUCUUAACGGAGCGGCCCAGUAAGAGCGCCCAGCGAGAGGCACUGUCAAUCAGGGAGCGCCGGAGGCCAAUCAGAGUGGGAGGACUUCCGCGGCGCUGGCCUUAUGCGAGUUUCGGGGCGGGCCUUGGGUUCAUUCACAACAUUCCUCCCCCGCCCCCCUCGGGCUGGACAGCGCGCCCCGGGCAGCUGGAGCUGCGCCCACAUACGGCUUUGUUUACUGAGGGUCGCUUCCGGGCGCCGCGAGGGGACAAUCAACACGCUCGGCCGGGGAGCGAGACGGAGCGGCGGGACCCCCGCGCAGCAGCUCAGCCCCUUUUUCCUCUGGAGCCCCAAGACGCUAAUGGUGCACUGCUUUACACCCAGGACCUGAACAGCACCAGGCAAACAGCAGUCACUAAAUCUAUAACUCCUCGAGUGAACCGUGAACCUCUCAUGCUUUGCUCCCGUUCUGUUGACAUGAUCUAAGGAACAGGAAGAACCCAAGCUGGCCCCUACUGGCCUCAUUGCUGCCCCUCCUCAUGUGGAAACACUGGCUUCUACCUUCCAGGAAUUUCCAGCUUCACCGCGGCACUUUCCGGCCAGUCCCCCACCCAGUAAGCUCCCUCUAACCUGCACGGUGGCAUAGGGUCACCGCGGGCUACAAGUGGCCUUUGAGUCCCUGAAAUGGGGCUGGCUGAGUCGGGCAAUGCUGUUAAACACGGAGUGCGUUUUGAAGACUGAGGGGCGGGGAAAAGGGUCAAGUUUCUCACUAAGAACUUUUUCUAUUGAUUAGAUGUUAAAAUGAUGAUAUUUUAGCCCAGCUGGCAUGGCUCAGUUGUUGAGCGUCGACCUAUGGAGCAGGAGGUCAUGGUUUGAUUCCCAGUCAGGGCAUAUGCCCGGGUUGCAGGCAUGUGCAGGAGGCAGCCCAUCAAUGAUUCUCUCUCAUCAUUGAUGUUUUUCUCUCUCUCUCCCUCUCCCUUCCUCUCUGAAAUCAAUAAAAAAUAUAUUUAAAAAUG